RNAcentral lists this ribosomal RNA (292 nucleotides) under uncultured Acinetobacter sp. RNAcentral describes it as "partial 16S ribosomal RNA". It matches the Rfam family "Bacterial small subunit ribosomal RNA", at positions 505 to 796 of the family's 1533-position model. Lineage: Bacteria; Pseudomonadati; Pseudomonadota; Gammaproteobacteria; Moraxellales; Moraxellaceae. The record is from RNAcentral.
GUGCCAGCAGCCGCAGUAAUACAGAGGGUGCGAGCGUUAAUCGGAUUUACUGGGCGUAAAGCGUGCGUAGGCGGCUAAUUGAGUCGGAUGUGAAAUCCCCGAGCUUAACUUGGGAAUUGCAUUCGAUACUGGUUAGCUAGAGUGUGGGAGAGGAUGGUAGAAUUCCAGGUGUAGCGGUGAAAUGCGUAGAGAUCUGGAGGAAUACCGAUGGCGAAGGCAGCCAUCUGGCCUAACACUGACGCUGAGGUACGAAAGCAUGGGGAGCAAACAGGAUUAGAUACCCGUGUAGUCC